UGCAGUCGAGCGGAAGGCCCUUCGGGGUACUCGAGCGGCGAACGGGUGAGUAACACGUGAGCAACCUGCCCUAGGCUUUGGGAUAACCCUCGGAAACGGGGGCUAAUACCGAAUAUUACUUGACCUCGCAUGGGGUUGGGUGGAAAGUUUUUCGGCCUGGGAUGGGCUCGCGGCCUAUCAGCUUGUUGGUGGGGUGAUGGCCUACCAAGGCGACGACGGGUAGCCGGCCUGAGAGGGCGACCGGCCACACUGGGACUGAGACACGGCCCAGACUCCUACGGGAGGCAGCAGUGGGGAAUAUUGCACAAUGGGCGGAAGCCUGAUGCAGCGACGCCGCGUGAGGGAUGACGGCCUUCGGGUUGUAAACCUCUUUCAGCAGGGACGAAGCGUAAGUGACGGUACCUGCAGAAGAAGCACCGGCCAACUACGUGCCAGCAGCCGCGGUAAGACGUAGGGUGCGAGCGUUGUCCGGAUUUAUUGGGCGUAAAGAGCUCGUAGGCGGCUUGUCGCGUCGACCGUGAAAACUUGGGGCUCAACCCCAAGCCUGCGGUCGAUACGGGCAGGCUAGAGUUCGGUAGGGGAGACUGGAAUUCCUGGUGUAGCGGUGAAAUGCGCAGAUAUCAGGAGGAACACCGGUGGCGAAGGCGGGUCUCUGGGCCGAUACUGACGCUGAGGAGCGAAAGCGUGGGGAGCGAACAGGAUUAGAUACCCUGGUAGUCCACGCUGUAAACGUUGGGCGCUAGGUGUGGGGGGCCUCUCCGGUUUCCUGUGCCGCAGCUAACGCAUUAAGCGCCCCGCCUGGGGGAGUACGGCCGCAAGGCUAAAACUCAAAGGAAUUGACGGGGGCCCG
Molecule: ribosomal RNA, 850 nt
Filed under: Micromonospora sp. 684H5
Lineage: Bacteria; Bacillati; Actinomycetota; Actinomycetes; Micromonosporales; Micromonosporaceae
Description: bacterial SSU rRNA
Rfam family: Bacterial small subunit ribosomal RNA
Source: RNAcentral